This 464-nucleotide ribosomal RNA is filed under the name uncultured bacterium. Its description in RNAcentral is "partial 16S ribosomal RNA". It matches the Rfam family "Bacterial small subunit ribosomal RNA", at positions 339 to 795 of the family's 1533-position model. The record is from RNAcentral.
CUACGGGUCGCUCCAGUGGGGAAUAUUGCACAAUGGGCGCAAGCCUGAUGCAGCCAUGCCGCGUGUAUGAAGAAGGCCUUCGGGUUGUAAAGUACUUUCAGCGGGGAGGAAGGGAGUAAAGUUAAUACCUUUGCUCAUUGACGUUACCCGCAGAAGAAGCACCGGCUAACUCCGUGCCAGCAGCCGCGGUAAUACGGAGGGUGCAAGCGUUAAUCGGAAUUACUGGGCGUAAAGCGUACGCAGGCGGUUUGUUAAGUCAGAUGUGAAAUCCCCGGGCUCAACCUGGGAACUGCAUCUGAUACUGGCAAGCUUGAGUCUCGUAGAGGGGGGUAGAAUUCCAGGUGUAGCGGUGAAAUGCGUAGAGAUCUGGAGGAAUACCGGUGGCGAAGGCGGCCCCCUGGACGAAGGCUGACGCUCAGGUGCGAAAGCGUGGGGAGCAAACAGGAUUAGAUACCCCUGUAGUC